Molecule: ribosomal RNA, 445 nt
Filed under: uncultured bacterium
Lineage: Bacteria
Description: bacterial SSU rRNA
Rfam family: Bacterial small subunit ribosomal RNA
Source: RNAcentral
CCAGACUCCUACGGGAGGCAGCAGUGGGGGAUAUUGCACAAUGGGGGGAACCCUGAUGCAGCGACGCCGCGUGGGUGAAGGAGUAUUUCGGUAUGUAAAGCCCUAUCGGCAGGGAAGAAGCAAGACGGUACCUGACUAAGAAGCCCCGGCUAACUACGUGCCAGCAGCCGCGGUAAUACGUAGGGGGCAAGCGUUAUCCGGAUUUACUGGGUGUAAAGGGAGCGUAGGCGGUGGAGCAAGUCUGAUGUGAAAGGGCGGGGCCCAACCCCGGGACUGCAUUGGAAACUGUUGAACUGGAGUACAGGAGAGGUGAGCGGAAUUCCUAGUGUAGCGGUGAAAUGCGUAGAUAUUAGGAGGAACACCAGUGGCGAAGGCGGCUUACUGGACUGUAACUGACGUUGAGGCUCGAAAGCGUGGGGAGCAAACAGGAUUAGAUACCCCUGUA